GGAGAGAUGGCUGAGUGGUUUAAGGCGCACGCCUGGAAAGCGUGAGUACCUAAACAGUACCGAGGGUUCGAAUCCCUCUCUCUCCGCCA
RNAcentral lists this transfer RNA (89 nucleotides) under Verrucomicrobiota bacterium. Its description in RNAcentral is "Verrucomicrobia bacterium tRNA-Ser". It matches the Rfam family "tRNA". Rfam says of the family: Transfer RNA (tRNA) molecules are approximately 80 nucleotides in length. Their secondary structure includes four short double-helical elements and three loops (D, anti-codon, and T loops). The record is from RNAcentral. Lineage: Bacteria; Pseudomonadati; Verrucomicrobiota.